UAAUAUUUAAACAAUAAUCUAUUUAUUUGAACAUAACGUAACAUACGUUAAAAAUAAUAUAAUAUUAUUAAUUUGAUAUCUCGAUAGAUUUCAAUUUUGAACUUGAAGUUGUUGCCUGUUUAUAAUGUCAAUAAAAACAAAAGCCGCAAUAACUUUGAUAGUUAUCGAGUCAGUUGUCUUUUACAUUCUGUCGAAUAAACAUAGAAAUAUUGUUUGGAGCAGGAUAUUUAUCGUACGAGGAUUAACAUAUACUCAAUGUAAAUAAAUUUUAUAUCAAACAUUUCUUCAAUAUUUUCUUAUUAUAAUAAUGAUAAUAAUAAUUUUGUUUUUAUUUUUCUGUUGCAAUCAUGCACGAAGCAAUAAAGGAAUCGCAAAGUGGUGUAUCAUUAAAUAAAGAAAAAGUAAUCGCGAACUAAAAGCAUUGUUUCUUCGUUCGCGUUUCGUUGAAUUUAAAAAGCAAGUGUAUUUGAAUCGAUUGCCUGUAAGAUUUAAUCAUUAAAAUCAGUGUUCGCAAUGUUUUUUUUUUUCUUUUUUAACAAUCGUACAGAUUGUAUUAAAUAAAAGAUAAAUUAGUAAAGUCUCGCGAAUUAAAUUCAGUGACCGUCCGUUAAUAAAUAACUACCGCGUAUUAGAAUCAAUGAAUCAGAGAAGAGGAUCUCAACCAACUUCGAUGUCGACCUAUCUCAUUUUCAACCAUCUACGAAUCCAACCACCUUCAAUUUCGACCUAAAUCGCAGACGAGUGUUUUGGAACCAUCGCGGAACUUCUUAAGUAGCUGAAUCAUCGAAGGAUGGAUUUAUCUGCAAUUGAGUGAUUAAGCAACAAGGAUAUCCGAUAUCGACGCGGACAUCCGAUAUUUCGUUUAGAGGCUCGCAAUUUGUAAUCGUGAGAUUACAUAUUUAGACGGAAGCUUACGAAAUCUUUCCGCAUUAUAUAAAGAAAGGAAAUGUCUCCUUUCUUUUGUAAGAAUAGAAUAAAAAGAACAUCCGUGUCCGCGUUAGUGGACACCAGAUGUGGAUAUUCAUGGAUCCGACUAAAUGGACUACCAUGGACUUCGUUUUAUUGUUCGAAAUUCGGUCCUGUUAUUCAUAAGCGAGGACUGAUCCUCUUACAGAUAGCGUUGGUAGCUUGAAUUCUCUAUAAAUGGCAUUGUCAUUCCGAUAUCGUGAAUUUUAGAGUAGAAUCAUCGUCAACCUCAUCGUAGGUCUUCAAAUGCAGCAACCUCCACGUGGUGAGAUUUGGAUCUUUACUAUUUACGAUAUAUCGAAAUCUAAUUUGAAAGCAAAUACUAUCGGGCGAAUGGUUGUACAUUUUCGAUCUAAUUCAACCUAAAGAUCAUUAAAGUAUUAACACUUUACGUUGCUAAUAAUAUUUCAACAGAUAAAUAUAUUAGAUAUGGCAAAAUUCUAAAAUAAUUUCUUAGAGAAACUCAUUGAAAAAUUCGAUUUAUUCCUCACUUGUUCUCAUUUAUACUUAUCAGAUUAAAUACUAUAUCUUCUAUUCUAUUUACGUACGCCAUUAUAUAUGCAUUAAAAUAAUUUCUAUCUAUCGUUGUUAUUAUUAUCUCUUUUAUAUGAUAUCUAUUCUAUCGCGAAUGAUAUCUAACUAAUGGCUACUUAAAUACGUUUUAACUAUUAGUACAAAUAAUUAAAAAGAAAUUCAAAAAUAUAAAAACUUUCUACAAUUAACAAAUACUUUUCUAUUAGUCUAUUUUCAGAAAAUUAUAAUAUAGUAUAUGGUUUUUUCUUGCUUUUAUCAAACGCGCGAUUUCACGUUAAUCCGAUUUUUAAUGGGAGUUAAUAGAGUAUAUAACUUCCACAAGCUUAUACACCGAUAAAACAGAUGCGUAGUGGGGAUGGUAUUUCCCUAUUAUACUUGUAGUUCAUAUUUUGUCCAUAACUGUCGCUAAAGUCACAUAUGCGAUCACAUAUGUCGCUAAAGUCACAUACGAUCGAAAAAGGUGGAGAACUGUUUUAUACUACAUAAAUAUAUCAUAUUUAAAAUGAUAUUUGAAAAAUCCAAUUUCGUAUUUGUUGUAUUACAAUAUGACGUAUACGAUAAUCAAACACAUUAUAAUUUUUUAUUUUCAUAAAUGCAUGAAAACAAAUAAUUACAACGAAAUAAUAAUUAAAUAUAACAUAAAGAAAUAUCAUUUUUAUGACUAAAAUAAAUUUAACAAAAUGUCAGCGAAUAAUGAUUACCAUAAAUUUACAAAUGGAUAAAAUCAACUUGUUUUUUCUUAAACAAAAAGAUAUUAAGGUAAAAAUACAUAAAUUACGUAAAACGAAAUAAUGAUGAUAAUAAUAAUAAUAAUAAUAAUAAUAAUAAUAAUAUAAUAAUAAAGCGUUCGUGUUUUAAUAUAUAUUUUGUCAAUAAUGCUAACGUGAAAACAAAAUUGAAACUUAAUUUAUAGCAUAUGUAUACCAUAAUUUUUAUAUUUAUCCAAUGUAUAUUAUUUUCAUUAUGCGGUAAAAAAUCAAUUUGCUUAAUUGAUGAUAAACUUACUAAGAUUACAUAAGAUAUACUCAGCAUAUGGAAAAGGUUUUAUUACUCUGGUGUGUAUCAAUUAAAUCAUAUUACAUAUAAAUAUGGAGUAAUAGUUCUCAAGCUUAUUUUAUAAGACAAUUAUAAGAGAGAAA
Molecule: long non-coding RNA, 2639 nt
Organism: Vespa velutina
Lineage: Eukaryota; Metazoa; Arthropoda; Insecta; Hymenoptera; Vespidae
Exons: 2
Source: RefSeq, a predicted model, not a curated record